Molecule: ribosomal RNA, 116 nt
Filed under: Pteropus alecto (black flying fox)
Lineage: Eukaryota; Metazoa; Chordata; Mammalia; Chiroptera; Pteropodidae
Source: RNAcentral
GUCUACAGACAUGCUACCCUGAACAAGCCCGAUGUCUGAUCUCGGAAGCUAAGUAAGGUCGGGCCUGGUUAGUACUUGGAUGGGAGACCACCUAGGAAGACCAGGUGCUGUAGGCA